GUAAAGCGCUCGCAGGCGGUCUUUUAAGUCUGAUGUGAAAGCCCACGGCUUAACCGUGGAGGGUCAUUGGAAACUGGAGGACUUGAGUGCAGAAGAGGAGAGUGGAAUUCCAUGUGUAGCGGUGAAAUCCGUAGAGAUAUGGAGGAACACCAGUGGCGAAGGCGACUCUCUGGUCUGUAACUGACGCUGAGGGGCGAAAGCGUGGGUAGCGAACAGGAUUAGAUACCCUGGUAGUCCACGCCGUAAACGAUGAGUGCUAGGUGUUAGGGGGUUUCCGCCCCUUAGUGCUGAAGUUAACGCAUUAAGCACUCCGCCUGGGGAGUACGGCCGCAAGGCUGAAACUCAAAAGAAUCGACGGGGACCCGCACAAGCGGUGGAGCAUGUGGUUUAAUUCGAAGCAACGCGAAGAACCUUACCAGGUCUUGACAUCCUUUCGACCUCCCUAGAGAUAGGGAUUUCCCUUCGGGGACGAAAGUGACAGGUGGUGCAUGGUUGUCGUCAGCUCGUGUCGUGAGAUGUUGGGUUAAGUCCCGCAACGAGCGCAACCCUUGAUCUUAGUUGCCAGCAUUAAGUUGGGCACUCUAAGGUGACUGCCGGUGACAAACCGGAGGAAGGUGGGGAUGACGUCAAAUCAUCAUGCCCCUUAUGACCUGGGCUACACACGUGCUACAAUGGAUGGUACAAAGGGCAGCGAAACCGUGAGGUCAAGCAAAUCCCAUAAAACCAUUCUCAGUUCGGAUUGUAGGCUGCAACUCGCCUACAUGAAGCCGGAAUCGCUAGUAAUCGCGG
RNAcentral lists this ribosomal RNA (789 nucleotides) under uncultured bacterium. RNAcentral's name for it is "bacterial SSU rRNA". It matches the Rfam family "Bacterial small subunit ribosomal RNA", at positions 560 to 1347 of the family's 1533-position model. The record is from RNAcentral.